GAUCCUGGCUCAGGAUGAACGCUAGCGGCAGGCUUAACACAUGCAAGUCGAGGGGCAGCAUAACGGAUAGCAAUAUCUAUGGUGGCGACCGGCGCACGGGUGCGUAACGCGUAUGCAACCUACCUUUAACAGGGGGAUAACACUGAGAAAAUUGGUACUAAAUACCCCAUAAUAUCAUAGAAGGCAUCUUUUUAAUGGUUUGAAAAAUUCCGAUGGUUAGAGAUGGGCAUGCGUUGUAUUAG
RNAcentral lists this ribosomal RNA (242 nucleotides) under uncultured bacterium. Its description in RNAcentral is "partial 16S ribosomal RNA". It matches the Rfam family "Bacterial small subunit ribosomal RNA", at positions 15 to 244 of the family's 1533-position model. The record is from RNAcentral.